This 254-nucleotide ribosomal RNA is filed under the name uncultured bacterium. RNAcentral's name for it is "partial 16S ribosomal RNA". It matches the Rfam family "Bacterial small subunit ribosomal RNA", at positions 524 to 776 of the family's 1533-position model. The record is from RNAcentral.
UACGUAGGGAGCGAGCGUUGUCCGGAUUCAUUGGGCGUAAAGAGCUCGUAGGCGGCUUGGUAAGUCGGAUGUGAAACCUCCAGGCUCAACCUGGAGUCGCCAUCCGAUACUGUCAUGGCUAGAGUCCGGUAGGGGCCCACGGAAUUCCUGGUGUAGCGGUGAAAUGCGCAGAUAUCAGGAGGAACACCGGUGGCGAAGGCGGUGGGCUGGGCCGGCACUGACGCUGAGGAGCGAAGGCGUGGGGAGCGAACAGG